UGUUUUUUAAAUAAAGACUAGUAUGAACGGCCGCACGAGGACUUAACUGUCUCCUUAGUUCAAUCAGUGAAACUGAUCUCCUCGUGCAGAAGCGAGGAUUCCCUCAUAAGACGAGAAGACCCUAUGGAGCUUUAAACUUUUAUCAAAUAUUUUCCUACCUCUCCAAGGAACUAACACCCAAUUAAAUUUUCUUGACAAAAGUUUUAGGUUGGGGCGACCAUGGAGAAAAAAAAAUCCUCCCUGAUGAUAACCAAACCAAGAGCUACAGCUCUAAGUAUUAAGACACUUAACUCCUAUUGACCCAUUUUAUGAUCAACGAACCAAGUUACCCUAGGGAUAACAGCGCAAUCCAUUUCAAGAGUCCCUAUCGACAAAUGGGUUUACGACCUCGAUGUUGGAUCAGGGCAUCCAAGUGGUGCAACCGCUACUAAAGGUUCGUUUGUUCAACGAUUAAAGCCCU
Molecule: ribosomal RNA, 460 nt
Filed under: Megophrys parva (Burmese spadefoot toad)
Lineage: Eukaryota; Metazoa; Chordata; Amphibia; Anura; Megophryidae
Description: partial 16S ribosomal RNA
Rfam family: Bacterial large subunit ribosomal RNA
Source: RNAcentral